Molecule: ribosomal RNA, 537 nt
Filed under: uncultured bacterium
Lineage: Bacteria
Description: bacterial SSU rRNA
Rfam family: Bacterial small subunit ribosomal RNA
Source: RNAcentral
GGACGAAAGUCUGACGGAGCAACGCCGCGUGAGUGAUGAAGGUUUUCGGAUCGUAAAACUCUGUUGUUAGGGAAGAACAAGUACAAGAGUAACUGCUUGUAUCUUGACGGUACCUAACCAGAAAGCCCCGGCUAACUACGUGCCAGCAGCCGCGGUAAUACGUAGGGGGCGAGCGUUGUCCGGAAUUAUUGGGCGUAAAGCGCGCGCAGGCGGUCCUUUAAGUCUGAUGUGAAAGCCCACGGCUUAACCGUGGAGGGUCAUUGGAAACUGGAGGACUUGAGUACAGAAGAGGAGAGUGGAAUUCCACGUGUAGCGGUGAAAUGCGUAGAGAUGUGGAGGAACACCAGUGGCGAAGGCGACUCUCUGGUCUGUUACUGACGCUGAGGCGCGAAAGCGUGGGGAGCGAACAGGAUUAGAUACCCUGGUAGUCCACGCCGUAAACGAUGAGUGCUAGGUGUUAGGGGGUUUCCGCCCCUUAGUGCUGAAGUUAACGCAUUAAGCACUCCGCCUGGGGAGUAUGGCCGCAAGGCUGAAACU